CCCUUAGAUGUUCUGGGCUGCACGCGCGCUACACUGAUGCGCUCAACGAGUUUUAACCUUGCCUGGAAAGGUUGGGUAAUCUUUUUAAAACGCAUCGUGAUGGGGAUAGAUUAUUGCAAUUGUCCCCCAUGAACGAGGAAUUCCCAGUAAGCGCGAGUCAUCAGCUCGCGUUGAUUACGUCCCUGCCCUUUGUACACACCGCCCGUCGCUACUACCGAUUGGAUGGUUUAGUGAGACCCUCGGAUCGGUCCCGACUCGGGGUGGGCUUCUGCCCCGGUCGUGGUUUCGCCGAGAAGACGGUCAAACUUGACUAUCUAGAGGAAGUAAAAGUCGUAACA
RNAcentral lists this ribosomal RNA (338 nucleotides) under uncultured eukaryote. Its description in RNAcentral is "partial 18S ribosomal RNA". It matches the Rfam family "Eukaryotic small subunit ribosomal RNA", at positions 1470 to 1796 of the family's 1831-position model. The record is from RNAcentral.